UUAAGCGACUAAGCGUACACGGUGGAUGCCCUGGCAGUCAGAGGCGAUGAAGGACGUGCUAAUCUGCGAUAAGCGUCGGUAAGGUGAUAUGAACCGUUAUAACCGGCGAUUUCCGAAUGGGGAAACCCAGUGUGAUUCGUCACACUAUCAUUAACUGAAUCCAUAGGUUAAUGAGGCGAACCGGGGGAACUGAAACAUCUAAGUACCCCGAGGAAAAGAAAUCAACCGAGAUUCCCCCAGUAGCGGCGAGCGAACGGGGAGCAGCCCAGAGCCUGAAUCAGUGUGUGUGUUAGUGGAAGCGUCUGGAAAGGCGUGCGAUACAGGGUGACAGCCCCGUACACAAAAAUGCACAUAUUGUGAGCUCGAUGAGUAGGGCGGGACACGUGGUAUCCUGUCUGAAUAUGGGGGGACCAUCCUCCAAGGCUAAAUACUCCUGACUGACCGAUAGUGAACCAGUACCGUGAGGGAAAGGCGAAAAGAACCCCGGCGAGGGGAGUGAAAAAGAACCUGAAACCGUGUACGUACAAGCAGUGGGAGCACGCUUAGGCGUGUGACUGCGUACCUUUUGUAUAAUGGGUCAGCGACUUAUAUUCUGUAGCAAGGUUAACCGAAUAGGGGAGCCGAAGGGAAACCGAGUCUUAACUGGGCGUUAAGUUGCAGGGUAUAGACCCGAAACCCGGUGAUCUAGCCAUGGGCAGGUUGAAGGUUGGGUAACACUAACUGGAGGACCGAACCGACUAAUGUUGAAAAAUUAGCGGAUGACUUGUGGCUGGGGGUGAAAGGCCAAUCAAACCGGGAGAUAGCUGGUUCUCCCCGAAAGCUAUUUAGGUAGCGCCUCGUGAAUUCAUCUCCGGGGGUAGAGCACUGUUUCGGCAAGGGGGUCAUCCCGACUUACCAACCCGAUGCAAACUGCGAAUACCGGAGAAUGUUAUCACGGGAGACACACGGCGGGUGCUAACGUCCGUCGUGAAGAGGGAAACAACCCAGACCGCCAGCUAAGGUCCCAAAGUCAUGGUUAAGUGGGAAACGAUGUGGGAAGGCCCAGACAGCCAGGAUGUUGGCUUAGAAGCAGCCAUCAUUUAAAGAAAGCGUAAUAGCUCACUGGUCGAGUCGGCCUGCGCGGAAGAUGUAACGGGGCUAAACCAUGCACCGAAGCUGCGGCAGCGACACUAUGUGUUGUUGGGUAGGGGAGCGUUCUGUAAGCCUGUGAAGGUGUACUGUGAGGUAUGCUGGAGGUAUCAGAAGUGCGAAUGCUGACAUAAGUAACGAUAAAGCGGGUGAAAAGCCCGCUCGCCGGAAGACCAAGGGUUCCUGUCCAACGUUAAUCGGGGCAGGGUGAGUCGACUCCUAAGGCGAGGCCGAAAGGCGUAGUCGAUGGGAAACAGGUUAAUAUUCCUGUACUUGGUGUUACUGCGAAGGGGGGACGGAGAAGGCUAUGUUGGCCGGGCGACGGUUGUCCCGGUUUAAGCGUGUAGGCUGGUUUUCCAGGCAAAUCCGGAAAACUAAGGCUGAGGCGUGAUGACGAGGCACUACGGUGCUGAAGCAACAAAUGCCCUGCUUCCAGGAAAAGCCUCUAAGCAUCAGGUAACAUCAAAUCGUACCCCAAACCGACACAGGUGGUCAGGUAGAGAAUACCAAGGCGCUUGAGAGAACUCGGGUGAAGGAACUAGGCAAAAUGGUGCCGUAACUUCGGGAGAAGGCACGCUGAUAUGUAGGUGAAGUCCCUCGCGGAUGGAGCUGAAAUCAGUCGAAGAUACCAGCUGGCUGCAACUGUUUAUUAAAAACACAGCACUGUGCAAACACGAAAGUGGACGUAUACGGUGUGACGCCUGCCCGGUGCCGGAAGGUUAAUUGAUGGGGUCAGCGCAAGCGAAGCUCUUGAUCGAAGCCCCGGUAAACGGCGGCCGUAACUAUAACGGUCCUAAGGUAGCGAAAUUCCUUGUCGGGUAAGUUCCGACCUGCACGAAUGGCGUAAUGAUGGCCAGGCUGUCUCCACCCGAGACUCAGUGAAAUUGAACUCGCUGUGAAGAUGCAGUGUACCCGCGGCAAGACGGAAAGACCCCGUGAACCUUUACUAUAGCUUGACACUGAACAUUGAGCCUUGAUGUGUAGGAUAGGUGGGAGGCUUUGAAGUGUGGACGCCAGUCUGCAUGGAGCCGACCUUGAAAUACCACCCUUUAAUGUUUGAUGUUCUAACGUUGACCCGUAAUCCGGGUUGCGGACAGUGUCUGGUGGGUAGUUUGACUGGGGCGGUCUCCUCCUAAAGAGUAACGGAGGAGCACGAAGGUUGGCUAAUCCUGGUCGGACAUCAGGAGGUUAGUGCAAUGGCAUAAGCCAGCUUGACUGCGAGCGUGACGGCGCGAGCAGGUGCGAAAGCAGGUCAUAGUGAUCCGGUGGUUCUGAAUGGAAGGGCCAUCGCUCAACGGAUAAAAGGUACUCCGGGGAUAACAGGCUGAUACCGCCCAAGAGUUCAUAUCGACGGCGGUGUUUGGCACCUCGAUGUCGGCUCAUCACAUCCUGGGGCUGAAGUAGGUCCCAAGGGUAUGGCUGUUCGCCAUUUAAAGUGGUACGCGAGCUGGGUUUAGAACGUCGUGAGACAGUUCGGUCCCUAUCUGCCGUGGGCGCUGGAGAACUGAGGGGGGCUGCUCCUAGUACGAGAGGACCGGAGUGGACGCAUCACUGGUGUUCGGGUUGUCAUGCCAAUGGCACUGCCCGGUAGUUAAAUGCGGAAGAGAUAAGUGCUGAAAGCAUCUAAGCACGAAACUUGCCCCGAGAUGAGUUCUCCCUGACUCCUUGAGAGUCCUGAAGGAACGUUGAAGACGACGACGUUGAUAGGCCGGGUGUGUAAGCGCAGCGAUGCGUUGAGCUAACCGAUACUAAUGAACCGUGAGGCUUAACCUU
This 2901-nucleotide ribosomal RNA is filed under the name Shigella dysenteriae. RNAcentral's name for it is "bacterial LSU rRNA". It matches the Rfam family "Bacterial large subunit ribosomal RNA". The record is from RNAcentral. Lineage: Bacteria; Pseudomonadati; Pseudomonadota; Gammaproteobacteria; Enterobacterales; Enterobacteriaceae.